GUCGUAACAAGGUUUCCGUAGGUGAACCUGCGGAAGGAUCAUUACCACACCGAUCCACGAUCUUAAUAACACGUGAAGUGAGGAUAGAGCUUUAAGGCUAAUGCCUGUUUGCUCUACUUCUAUGAAACACUGCUUUGACAGCGAACGGAUGUUGGUUCCCGUUUGACUAUUUUACUUCAAUCACUGGUAUUGACACUAUAAACAUGAAACGUGAAAGGAAGGUUUGCGUAAGCAAUCUUUUCUGAAACAUGUACAAUCAAAUGUGCAAGUAUACAACUUUCAGCAACGGAUGUCUAGGCUCCCA
Molecule: unclassified non-coding RNA, 304 nt
Filed under: fungal sp.
Lineage: Eukaryota; Fungi
Description: partial internal transcribed spacer region
Rfam family: Eukaryotic small subunit ribosomal RNA (bases 1-44)
Source: RNAcentral